AAGGGCACCACCAGGAGUGGAGCCUGCGGCUUAAUUUGACUCAACACGGGGAAACUCACCCGGCCCGGACACUGUGAGGAUUGACAGGUUGAAGCCCUUUCUUGAUUCAGUGGGUGGUGGUGCAUGGCCGUUCUUAGUUGGUGGAGUGAUUUGUCUGGUUAAUUCCGAUAACGAACGAGACUCUAGCCUACUAAUUAGACCAAGGCAUCCUUGUGCUGCCUUGGCGCUUCCUAGAGGGACAGACGGCGUUUCAGCCGUAUGAGAAAGAGCAAUAACAGGUCUGUGAUGCCCUUAGAUGUCCGGGGCCGCACGCGCGCUACACUGAAGAGAUCAGCGUGUAUGUGCAUCCUACUCCGAAAGGAGCGGGAAACCGAGUGAACCCUUUUCGUGCUUGGGAUUGGGGAUUGUAAUUAUUCUCCAUGAACGAGGAAUUCCCAGUAAGUGCAAGUCAUCAGCUUGCAUUGAUUACGUCCCUGCCCUUUGUACACACCGCCCGUCGCUACUAUCGAUUGGAUGAUU
This 519-nucleotide ribosomal RNA is filed under the name uncultured eukaryote. RNAcentral's name for it is "SSU rRNA". It matches the Rfam family "Eukaryotic small subunit ribosomal RNA", at positions 1160 to 1698 of the family's 1831-position model. The record is from RNAcentral.